Molecule: ribosomal RNA, 502 nt
Filed under: uncultured bacterium
Lineage: Bacteria
Description: bacterial SSU rRNA
Rfam family: Bacterial small subunit ribosomal RNA
Source: RNAcentral
GAGUUUGAUCCUGGCUCAGGAUGAACGCUGGCGGCGCGCCUAACACAUGCAAGUCGAACGAGCGAGAGAGAGCUUGCUUUCUCAAGCGAGUGGCGAACGGGUGAGUAACGCGUGAGGAACCUGCCUCAAAGAGGGGGAUAACAGUUGGAAACGGCUGCUAAUACCGCAUAAGCGCACAGCAUCGCAUGAUGCAGUGUGAAAAACUCCGGUGGUAUAAGAUGGACCCGCGUUGGAUUAGCUAGUUGGUGAGGUAACGGCCCACCAAGGCGACGAUCCAUAGCCGACCUGAGAGGGUGACCGGCCACAUUGGGACUGAGACACGGCCCAAACUCCUACGGGAGGCAGCAGUGGGGAAUAUUGCACAAUGGGCGAAAGCCUGAUGCAGCGACGCCGCGUGAGCGAAGAAGUAUUUCGGUAUGUAAAGCUCUAUCAGCAGGGAAGAUAAUGACGGUACCUGACUAAGAAGCACCGGCUAAAUACGUGCCAGCCGCCGCGGUAAUUC